AUUGAACGCUGGCGGUAUGCUUAACACAUGCAAGUCGAACGGCAGCACGGGAGCAAUCCUGGUGGCGAGUGGCGAACGGGUGAGUAACAUAUCGGAACGUGCCCAGUGAUGGGGGAUAGCCCGGCGAAAGCCGGAUUAAUACCGCAUACGACCUACGGGUGAAAGCAGGGGAUCGCAAGACCUUGCGUCAUUGGAGCGGCCGAUAUCAGAUUAGCUUGUUGGUGGGGUAAAAGCCUACCAAGGCGACGAUCUGUAGCUGGUCUGAGAGGACGACCAGCCACACUGGGACUGAGACACGGCCCAGACUCCUACGGGUGGCUG
This 321-nucleotide ribosomal RNA is filed under the name uncultured Pseudomonadota bacterium. Its description in RNAcentral is "bacterial SSU rRNA". It matches the Rfam family "Bacterial small subunit ribosomal RNA", at positions 30 to 351 of the family's 1533-position model. Lineage: Bacteria; Pseudomonadati; Pseudomonadota. The record is from RNAcentral.